Non-coding RNA from Eubacterium sp. CAG:161, 339 nucleotides. It matches the Rfam family "transfer-messenger RNA". From Rfam's summary of the family: Bacterial tmRNA, also known as 10Sa RNA or SsrA, is named for its dual tRNA and mRNA-like properties. Its role is to liberate the mRNA from a stalled ribosome. The record is from Rfam. NCBI's taxonomy places the organism in Bacteria, Bacillati, Bacillota, Clostridia, Eubacteriales, Eubacteriaceae.
GGGCUAGUACUGGUUUCGACAGGGAUUUGGAAGUUGGUGAAGCUAUCCGCAGGUGAUGCGUCAAAUCACAAAUUAAAAUUAAACGCUGAAGAUAAUUUAGCAUACGCUGCCUAGUUGCAGCUGUCUGAUCUAAGAGGCCUACGGCUUAGAUUCAGGCAUCGACACUUGUAGGGAACCCUAUAUACAAAGCUUUGAGUAUGUAGGAGUAACAUGAAGCUACUGAAGACUGAAGGAUGCUGUUUUUCGUCAGUCAGAGGGAAUGUCAAAUAAUCAGCUAUGAUAGUAGAAGAACGAUGGAAGGGUUUUUGGACAUGGGUUCGACUCCCAUCUAGUCCACUA